AGUGAACGCUGGCGGUAGGCCUAACACAUGCAAGUCGAACGGCAGCACAGGAGAGCUUGCUCUCUGGGUGGCGAGUGGCGGACGGGUGAGGAAUACAUCGGAAUCUACUCUGUCGUGGGGGAUAACGUAGGGAAACUUACGCUAAUACCGCAUACGACCUACGGGUGAAAGCAGGGGACCUUCGGGCCUUGCUCGAUUGAAUGAGCCGAUGUCGGAUUAGCUAGUUGGCGGGGUAAAGGCCCACCAAGGCGACGAUCCGUAGCUGGUCGGAGAGGAUGAUCAGCCACACUGGAACUGAGACACGGUCCAGACUCCUACGGGAGGCAGCAGUGGGGAAUAUUGGACAAUGGGCGCAAGCCUGAUCCAGCCAUACCGCGUGGGUGAAGAAGGCCUUCGGGUUGUAAAGCCCUUUUGUUGGGAAAGAAAUCCAGCUGGCUAAUACCCGGUUGGGAUGACGGUACCCAAAGAAUAAGCACCGGCUAACUUCGUGCCAGCCGCCGCAGUAA
This 506-nucleotide ribosomal RNA is filed under the name uncultured bacterium. RNAcentral describes it as "partial 16S ribosomal RNA". It matches the Rfam family "Bacterial small subunit ribosomal RNA", at positions 29 to 523 of the family's 1533-position model. The record is from RNAcentral.